CAGCAGCCGCGGGAAUACGAAGGGUGCAAGCGUUAAUCGGAAUUACUGGGCGUAAAGCGUGCGUAGGCGGUGAGUUAAGUCUGCUGUGAAAUCCCCGGGCUCAACCUGGGAAUGGCAGUGGAUACUGGCUCGCUAGAGUGUGUCAGAGGAUGGUGGAAUUCCCGGUGUAGCGGUGAAAUGCGUAGAGAUCGGGAGGAACAUCAGUGGCGAAGGCGGCCAUCUGGGACAACACUGACGCUGAGGCACGAAAGCGUGGGGAGCAAACAGGAUUAGAUACCCCAGUAGUCCCUGUCUCUUAUAC
RNAcentral lists this ribosomal RNA (301 nucleotides) under uncultured bacterium. RNAcentral describes it as "partial 16S ribosomal RNA". It matches the Rfam family "Bacterial small subunit ribosomal RNA", at positions 509 to 807 of the family's 1533-position model. The record is from RNAcentral.